This 392-nucleotide ribosomal RNA is filed under the name uncultured bacterium. RNAcentral's name for it is "bacterial SSU rRNA". It matches the Rfam family "Bacterial small subunit ribosomal RNA", at positions 29 to 419 of the family's 1533-position model. The record is from RNAcentral.
AUUAAACGCUGGCGGCAUGCCUUACACAUGCAAGUCGAACGGCAGCACGGGGGCAACCCUGGUGGCGAGUGGCGAACGGGUGAGUAAAGCAUCGGAACGUGCCCUGGAGUGGGGGGAUAACGUAGCGAAAGUUACGCUAAUACCGCAUAUUCUGUGAGCAGGAAAGCAGGGGGAUCGCAAGACCUUGCGCUCUGGGAGCGGCCGAUGUCGGAUUAGCUAGUUGGUGGGGUAAAGGCCUACCAAGGCGACGAUCCGUAGCGGGUCUGAGAGGAUGAUCCGCCACACUGGGACUGAGACACGGCCCAGACUCCUACGGGAGGCAGCAGUGGGGAAUUUUGGGACAAUGGGCGAAAGCCUGAUCCAGCCAUGCCGCGUGAGUGAAGAAGGCCUUC